CCAGAUUAUGCUCCUCUUCAUAUUUUCGGUUGUGCAUGUUGGCCUAAUCUUCGUCCAUAUAACAACAGAAAACUCAUGUUUCGUUCCAAACAGUGUGUUUUUCUGGGUUAUAGUGCCCAACACAAGGGAGUCAAGUGUCUAGAUGUCUCAACUGGUCGUAUCUAUAUUUCUCGUGAUGUUAUCUUCGACGAAACCCAGUUUCCCUUUGCUAAACUUCAUCCAAAUGCUGGUGCUCUACUUCGCAAAGAGAUACUACUUUUACCUCCUCAUCUCACAAGCACCGGUAGUGGGGAAGUAAAUAAUUGUGAUGAUCAAUAUUUGCCUAACCCUCCUAAUUGUUUCCCUGAGUAUUCUGUUUCAUAA
RNAcentral lists this ribosomal RNA (363 nucleotides) under Triticum aestivum (bread wheat). Its description in RNAcentral is "partial small subunit ribosomal RNA". The record is from RNAcentral. Lineage: Eukaryota; Viridiplantae; Streptophyta; Magnoliopsida; Poales; Poaceae.